This 46-nucleotide ribosomal RNA is filed under the name Cycas taitungensis. RNAcentral's name for it is "partial 18S ribosomal RNA". Lineage: Eukaryota; Viridiplantae; Streptophyta; Cycadopsida; Cycadales; Cycadaceae. The record is from RNAcentral.
GUCGUAACAAGAUAGCCGUAGGGGAACCUGUGGCUGGAUUGAAUCC